AAACAAGUGAAAAAUGAGCUCCAAAACUUUAUAAACCUUAGCUGCUACUCAAUGUUGUCACUGUCCAGAAAAUUAUCAGCAUUCCUUUUACAAAGACACUAGAUCAAUUAUUUAAUGUUGGCCUAGAAGUUUCUCAAAGGCAUAGAAACAACAAGUAGCAACCGAAAAGGCCAUGCUAGUGAAAGCCUUUGAAGGGUAAACGGAGUAAAAAAGAAGUAAGAAAUAUGUUUAUCAGUUUGCCAAAUUAAUAAACAAAAGGGAAAAUCUAGACUAGAGGCAUAGCAAAGUUUGAUUAUUUUCCAAGAAAGACGAGAAAGCCAAAAUCAAUUUAAGUUAGCAAUUAAAAAGUCAAUAAUUGUGAGACAUAUCAUACAAGAUCAUGAUCCCAGCUAAAGAAACUUUUGAAGGCACAAUCCACCCAAGGGAAACACAUCAUAAUAUGACAGCCACAACCAUGCUAGUUUACACAAAUUUUGAUUGAUAGAGAGGGCCUAAAGGAGAUCUUCCAUUCACAACAGUCCUGAAAUACAAGAAAUGACCUAAAUAGAACAAGAUAAACUUCAACAUUUAAACUUAACAGUAAUUUUCUUGACCAAACUAGUCACAGCACUUGGGUAUAGAUAAUCUAUUGAACUUUCUUGACUAACGCACGCACUAUGCUUAUAUUGGUCCACAGGAUUGCAAAGAAACAACCAAGUUGCACAUAGCAAGCGAAUUUUCA
This 721-nucleotide unclassified non-coding RNA is filed under the name Hevea brasiliensis (rubber tree). The record is from RNAcentral. Lineage: Eukaryota; Viridiplantae; Streptophyta; Magnoliopsida; Malpighiales; Euphorbiaceae.